RNAcentral lists this long non-coding RNA (934 nucleotides) under Lathyrus oleraceus (garden pea). RNAcentral's name for it is "Pisum sativum (pea) long non-coding RNA (PSAT_LNC036045)". The record is from RNAcentral. Lineage: Eukaryota; Viridiplantae; Streptophyta; Magnoliopsida; Fabales; Fabaceae.
UACACUAUUGUAAUUAUUUAUACUCGACCGAAUAUUUCCUUUUGCGCAUGCAGUUAUCCACGACCUUGUAUAUUCUUAUAAUCGUCAUGAGUCAUCAUGCAGAAUUUGUCUCUUGAGUAAUUCAACUACGAGUGUCUCAUCACAUUGAAAUCCAUUUAAUAUGAAUGGCUGAAUGCCAAUGAAGGACGAAGAUUAUGAAUCCUUAUGUCUAAUCACAUAGGGAAAUAUGCAUGUAUAUAAAGUCUUCUCUUUGGAUCUAUGAACAUGCAUUACUAAACAGGUACUAUGUACUAUUUGGCUUUGUUAUCUAUGUGUGUUCGUACUUUAUGAAGGAAGAGAUAUAUAUAUAGUCAAGAUAUAGGACUUUAUAAUUCAAUGUUUUGUACUUUUUAUUGUGUAUUGUCUUUUCAAAUGUAGGUAAAAAUGGAAAAACGUGGGUCAGUUGCCAUGGAUGACAUGUUUCUUUUACUCGUAUUUAUUAUUUUCUUUGUUUUAUUUCAAUGUUGUUUUAUUAAAUAGUUGAAAAUAGAAGUAGUAUGAAUCUAACAUAAACAGUGAAUAUCUGGGUUCAUUUACUUACGAUUUGACUUUCGAUUAUUGUUUGAGAAACAACAAUGUUGGAAGAGGUUGCGAUUUAGUGGAAAUUUUAAGUUUCACUUUGCAUAGACAUAAAGAAAUUUAAAGAGUUUAUAUUGAGGGGUAUUCUUUAUUUUAUAAACUAGUUUUAUAAGGAUGAUUUGUAUCUACACACGAAGCUCAUAGUACAAGGAGGUAUAUUAUAAGAAUGAAUUAGGUUAAACUUUAAUAUAGUAUCAUAACAUAUCGAUUGAAACAAUUGGAACAAUGACCGUCCACCGUUUAUAACCACUUAUUAGGUUAAAAAAAGUGAAUUAGGCCUAAAAAACUGUGUUGGAUGUGAUAAUGAAUUAGAUUA